CUUUGAAGAAGAAGGAGCAGUGUUGAGAAGAACUACCCAUGAGAAAUCACCAAGAAGUAGAAGAAUAAGAGGUUUACUUCAAGCAAAAAACAAAGCUGCUGGGAAGCCUACACAUUCAUAUUUCCAAAUAAGCAAGAAAAUUUGGACAAGCAACCCUUCCACUUCAUCAAGAAACAUCAUGAUUCCUUCCCCAUGGAACUGAAGUUGAAACUUUCAUAAGCCUUUAUUUGUAUUCUCCCAGACCUCUAUUUCAAUUUCGAUAAUCUGGUUUAAUACACAGUACACAGAAAAUGUUAUGGAGUUGGUUUUUUUCACUUAUUGGCUACAAAAUUGUACUGUUCCCUUUUCCUGUGAAUCUUUUGACUAACGUGGAAUAUGGAAGUGGCAGCUGGAAAAAUGUAUUAGAAGCUGGAAAGUGAAAUAAAAUUUAGUGAUAAUUUUUUUAUUAGAAUGUAAAGAUUGUAGCUUGUAAGAUGUCAUAAAAUGUUCCAAAAGGGUAAGAAGUGCCCCAGGAAGCCAGAGAUGAUGUGAAUCCAUGGCUACAAGUCAUUACUUCCUUUCCCAGUGUAAUGCAGGUUCAAGAGGCCUGGGGGUAUCUGGAUAAGAAUGGAAGAUUGCAAAGGACCCCUGUGGCCUGAAGUAUGGUUCUGUAGCAUACUUCAGCUGUAGAAAAGGAGACCAGCAAAACUAUUUCUGUUCUAAAACCCUAUGAACUCCAAAAUCAUCCAGGGAAAAAAGAGUCACAAGAGCAAACAUUAUGCCUAGCAAGAACAUUAUCAGUUCACAGCACAAGUUCUCAAUCUUCAGUAGAGCCAAGGCAAAAAAAAAAAAAAAACCUAACUGAAAGCCAACCCCACGUUUUCCUUGGUAGUCCAGCCAACAGCUGCCUCAUGUAUGUAGAGACAAAAAACUAGUCAAGAGAAAGGUGGUUUAGGCUUUGUUUUGGUUGCAGAUGAAAAUUGGACCUACACUGACAACAACAAUUUGACCACCAUUCUGAAGAAUUUAAAUAGGGUUAUUUGGGUUUUCUCAAAACAUUUUGCCUCCUGGUUUGUUUGUCAGUGUAUGAUAGAGGCUGGACAAAAAAUGACAUGGUGGUUGGAAGUUUCUGGUUGGUUUUUGGGUGGUUUUAGAAAAAUGUUAGAAAGAACUGGAGGGCUAGAAAGGAGCACAUAGAACAAUGAUUUCUAUGGUGAAACUUCUAGUUUCUUCUGGAUUUCACAGAUUAUUGCUGUGGCUUAUUUUGCUUUCCUACUUCUUCCUCUUCACCCUAUCCCCUCCUUUACUUCCCCCUCAAAACAAGGAUGACUUUUCAGGUGGAUUAAUUCUCUUAUCUGCACUGCAGAAAUGCUGGUAAUCAGUGCAAAGGAAGCAUCUGGAAGAACUGGCUAUUGAGAAGGAAGCUAGAUAAAAUCAACUCUGCCUCUCAUUUGGGUUUCCAUUAUAUGCUGUGACAAUGUCUUUUGCAGGCAAAUAGAGGAACAAAUUCAUUUAUGUAUUUGUUUUAUCAGUUCUAAAUUCACUGCCUUUCAUUAUCAUUGCUUUCCCCUUAUUUCCAGAACCAGAAAACAGAAUCAGCCACCAUGCCAUCUUCUCAAUGCCACUGUCUGAAACACCUGCUCUUGUUAACCACAUAGGUCCUCAUUUUACUGGCUCCAGCUAUGUGGAAGUUUCUCAUGCUCAUAUUUAAAGCACAUUUAACAGUCCUGAAUUCCUGAAUUCUGACCCUAUGAAGAGUCUGAAGACACAUCUCAUUCAUUACACAUUUCUCAGUAUCAUCAGAGUGAAAUGAACUUCAUGUAUCUCACAGGUUCUCAUAAGAUUCAAAAUUACAAGCUGCUGUUUUUAUUUUCACUAUAAUCCACUAUAAUUUUUUAAAGAUAAAUUAGUUUCUAUUCCUUAUUUUUUAAAAACAGAAAACCCCAAACCUCUCCCAGUUUCAUUGUCAAUUUUUAAAGAUUCUUGUGCAUGGUUCAUUAGCUUGUGAGUCAUGAAUAAAUACCAUUUUUCUACUAACAUCUUCCUUCUCCUUCAGAAAUAUUCCUCAAAAGAUAUCCCUAGACAAAUGAGAGUAAGGCCCCAAUACAGCAAAUUUCAUGAUCCAUGACAAUAUUGUGCUACAAGGCAUGUAGUUUUACCACUAUGUCAAAAUAAAUAAUUCUCUAAAAUGCAAAAAAAAAAGUAAAAGCAAACUGCAGCAAUGAAGUUAUUUAAAAUACACUUCUAAAACACAUAUUUAUGAAGUGUAAAUUACUAGUUACUUUAAAGAAUUAAAAUAUUAAAGAAUUACAUCAGCAUUAAUAUCUUAUAAUGUGAAUAUAUGAAUUCUGGAGAUGAAAAGUAACAUGAAGAGUAUUUUGCUUUAGGCAAAUUAAGCAGAAUUGAAAUUGCAUAAACAGGGAAAACUAAAUGGUAGGCUAGAAAUUGUCUUGCAAUUUUAAAACAAAAAAAAUGGUUGUUUUAAACUACUUUGAAAUCAUUUUGAUUACCUGCUAUUGUUAAAAAUCAAGAUCUAAAAUUACUAUCACUAGAAAAGAAAAAAAAAAAGUUGAUUUAAAAUCAGAUUGAUUGAUAAUUUUUUUCCCCUCUCUGACUAAAAAGAAAACACUAUCAUGUUUUAAUAAGUGAUUUUUUUAAUCUCACAAUUGCUUCAUUCUUAAUGGGAAGAUUUUUUUAAAUAUAUGUUUUGAUAUAGUAGUAUUGGAAAACAGCACAUUUUUCCCCUUAUUUUGACCACAUGGUGUUCACCAGUGAAAAGCAAAACAGGUGGUUUUUCUUCUAAGCUGAUCCUAACAGCACGUUUUAGUGGUCAUUUAACCUUUAUUCAGUGACACACACAUUCUUCUGAUUGUUUUAACCAAUAAACAGUACUAUUUCCUUUCAAAAAAUGUAAAUAUCCCAGAAAAAAAUUAAUAAAACUGCUGAGUAUGUCAAGUGAGUUGACUCCUUAAAAUACACGGUACUGAAAAUUUAACCUAGCUGUAGCAACUUAUAUAGCAGGAAAUGAGCA
Molecule: long non-coding RNA, 3010 nt
Organism: Motacilla alba alba
Lineage: Eukaryota; Metazoa; Chordata; Aves; Passeriformes; Motacillidae
Exons: 3
Source: RefSeq, a predicted model, not a curated record